This 94-nucleotide transfer RNA is filed under the name Mycoplasmopsis bovis. RNAcentral describes it as "Mycoplasma bovis tRNA-Ser". It matches the Rfam family "tRNA". Rfam says of the family: Transfer RNA (tRNA) molecules are approximately 80 nucleotides in length. Their secondary structure includes four short double-helical elements and three loops (D, anti-codon, and T loops). Lineage: Bacteria; Bacillati; Mycoplasmatota; Mycoplasmoidales; Metamycoplasmataceae. The record is from RNAcentral.
GGGUGAUUACCCAAGUCUGGCUGAAGGGACUAGUCUUGAAAACUAAGCAGGGGCUUCACGGCCCGCGGGGGUUCGAAUCCCUCAUCACCCGCCA